RNAcentral lists this ribosomal RNA (506 nucleotides) under uncultured bacterium. RNAcentral's name for it is "partial 16S ribosomal RNA". It matches the Rfam family "Bacterial small subunit ribosomal RNA", at positions 29 to 523 of the family's 1533-position model. The record is from RNAcentral.
AGUGAACGCUGGCGGCAGGCCUAACACAUGCAAGUCGAACGGCAGCACAGGAGAGCUUGCUCUCUGGGUGGCGAGUGGCGGACGGGUGAGGAAUACAUCGGAAUCUACCUUUUCGUGGGGGAUAACGUAGGGAAACUUACGCUAAUACCGCAUACGACCUUAGGGUGAAAGCGGAGGACCUUCGGGCUUCGCGCGGAUAGAUGAGCCGAUGUCGGAUUAGCUGGUUGGCGGGGUAAAGGCCCACCAAGGCGACGAUCCGGAGCUGGUCUGAGAGGAUGAUCAGCCACACUGGAACUGAGACACGGUCCAGACUCCUACGGGAGGCAGCAGUGGGGAAUAUUGGACAAUGGGCGCAAGCCUGAUCCAGCCAUGCCGCGUGGGUGAAGAAGGCCUUCGGGUUGUAAAGCCCUUUUGUUGGGAAAGAAAAGCAGUCGGUUAAUACCCGAUUGUUCUGACGGUACCCAAAGAAUAAGCACCGGCUAACUUCGUGCCAGCAGCCGCCGUAA